GAUGAACGCUAGCGGCAGGCCUAAUACAUGCAAGUCGAGGGGUAUCCCGCUUUCGGGCGGGAGAGACCGGCGCACGGGUGCGUAACGCGUAUGCAACCUACCCAUAUCUGGGGGAUAGCCCGGAGAAAUCCGGAUUAACACCGCAUAAAAUCACAGUACGGCAUCGUACAAUGAUCAAAUAUUGAUAGGAUAUGGAUGGGCAUGCGUGUCAUUAGCUGGUUGGCGGGGUAACGGCCCACCAAGGCGACGAUGACUAGGGGAUCUGAGAGGAUGGCCCCCCACACUGGUACUGAGACACGGACCAGACUCCUACGGGAGGCAGCAGUAAGGAAUAUUGGUCAAUGGGCGGAAGCCUGAACCAGCCAAGUAGCGUGCAGGAUGACGGCCCUAUGGGUUGUAAACUGCUUUUAUACAGGAAUAAAGUUAGCCACGUGUGGUUAUUUGUAGGUACUGUAUGAAUAAGGACCGGCUAAUUCCGUGCCAGCAGCCGCAGUAA
Molecule: ribosomal RNA, 496 nt
Filed under: uncultured bacterium
Lineage: Bacteria
Description: partial 16S ribosomal RNA
Rfam family: Bacterial small subunit ribosomal RNA
Source: RNAcentral